Cebus imitator (Panamanian white-faced capuchin) is the source of this 1132-nucleotide long non-coding RNA. RefSeq lists it as uncharacterized. The record is from RefSeq and is a predicted model, not a curated record. Lineage: Eukaryota; Metazoa; Chordata; Mammalia; Primates; Cebidae. The transcript has 7 exons.
UUGCCAAAGGAACCUCAGUCUACAGGGAGUAGCUGCUUUCUGCAUUUGCUACUUCAGCAGCCUUCAGAAUCCUUUUAUGCCUUUUAGCAGUUGAUCAUAUUUCCCAGUUAACAAUUGUUGUUACUAAAUUAUCCCCAUUCAUAUUAUGGGGAAGUGGUUUAUUUCUCCUGACUGGACCCUGAUUGAUAUAUAAGGACUUAAACAAAAAGAGAUCAAGAGAAGGAAAGGACAGAGACACAAGGAGAAUGAAACCUGGUUGGCAGCCAAAUUCCAGACAAUUCGUACAACUGAAUUGUCUUACCAUAAGAAGUUCUUUCCCUUCCACUCUCGAAGUGAAACUACUCAUCCUAUUUUUGUGGUGAAGAUAUGUCAUAGCUUAGCAAAGGGAAUACUGGAAGAAGUACUAGAAGACAUGAGUUUGAAUCCUAUCCUUGCCAUUACUAGACUUAGGUGGGAACAAACUGAGGCAAACUGAAGACCUAAACCUUAUUAUAAGAGAAGAACAAAAGGACUAAGAGCUGGCAAUAGACUUUUCAAUCCUAUCAACAGGUGUCUUCCAACCUCAGCUGUAAAUAGCUAUAACAUGAAUGGAGAUACCUUUAAGAAGCUGCUAAUAGGCCAACAAGAGGCACACAGGGCAUGCAUCUUGUGAUUGAAAAAGUACUCAAUUGCCAGGAAUGCUCAGAGCAGUGCACAGUGACUUUUGGUAAGGUUGAAAUGCUAACCCCCAAGAAGAUUUGAUCAAGAGGAUUGAAGAGUUCUUCCAUGGAUGUGAAGAACAGGUUAUAUUCUAUUCUGCUUCGCAGAUCUACAAAAUUGGCAGCCAAGAUGUGAUGCCAGAAUCCUUACUGUUAGUAGUGACAGUUGGUGUGCUUACAAGCAGUGAAGAGAAAACAUCUUAAUUUUCAAGUUUAUCAGGUUGAAUUCAUAGUGCUGGCACUUGGAAAAUCUUGCUUUGACUUAUAAAUGAAACAAACUUAUACAAAAGCCGAAAACAGAGAAUAAGUAUGAAAUAAUGUCAUAUGCUUUCUUCUAACAGUGAUUACAUUUUCAAAGAAACGAGAAAAGGUCGGGCGCGGUGGCUCAAGCCUGUAAUCUCAGCACUUUGGGAGGCCGAGGCGGGUGGAUCAUG